Molecule: ribosomal RNA, 371 nt
Filed under: uncultured bacterium
Lineage: Bacteria
Description: bacterial SSU rRNA
Rfam family: Bacterial small subunit ribosomal RNA
Source: RNAcentral
AACGAACGCUGGCGGCAUGCCUAACACAUGCAAGUCGAGCGCCCGUAGCAAUACGGGAGCGGCGCACGGGUGAGUAACGCGUGGGAACCUGCCCAGAGGUCUGGGACAACCGCGGGAAACUGCGGCUGAUACCGGAUGAUUCCUGAGGGACAAAGAUUUAUCGCCUUUGGAGGGGCCCGCGUCGGAUUAGGUAGUUGGUGGGGUAACGGCUCACCAAGCCUAUGAUCCGUAACUGGUCUGAGGGGAUGACCAGUCACACUGGGACUGAGACACGGCCCAGACUCCUACGGGAGGCAGCAGUGGGGAGUAUUGGACAAUGGGGGGCAACCCUGAUCCAGCAAUGCCGCGUGGGUGACGAAGGCCUUCGGGUU